AUCUAUCUAUGCAUCUAGGCAUCUGCCUGUUUAUGUAUGUAUACAUGAAUGUGUCUUUUUAUGUGUCUGUGUCUCUCUGGAUAUAGCCUAUCUGUCCAUCCACCCGGCCAUCCAUUCAUCUUGUGAGCACUUAUUGUUAUUAUUGGUGAGGAGACAAAACCAACAUCCUGAACCUACUCCUUCCCUCUUCCCGCCUCUUUCCCCUCCCCCACCCUCUUGAGUUUUCUCUUUUCUGCUUUAAUAUUGCUGCUCUGAACAGAUAUAUUGCAAAAGAUGUACAUUUCAGGUCAGCUGGGUUGAUGAAGGGAAGGACAGGAUUCCUGGGAGGGUCCUGAAACUCCCCUGGAAAAAUCACACACACACAUACAACACACACACACGUGUGUGUGUGUGUGCCUGAACAUGUUCAAGGACAGAAGAUUUUUCAAAGAAGCCAAGGAUCCCAAAGAGUCUUUCCUGAGCCCUGCUUAAGGCUGAAGGCCAAGACUGAUGGUUGGGGUCCUCCCCAUCCUGCCCACUGUGCCUUUCUUUCCUCCCUCCCUUUCUCGAUCAUCCAUUUGGCCCUACUUCCCACAGGCUGCUCCCCCUCAGCUCUGCACUUCCUCCUGUGUGCUUUGCUUCACCCAUGUGGGCCCCUCAGGGCCGGGAUGGAGAUGCGUGUGGUCCGAGGUUGGCAGGAGACCAGUAUUCGCAUGACAUGAAAGCACACGGGACCGACAGCCUCCUUCAGCCCUGUGCAGGAGCAGCUGAUGUUGCGCCAAGUCUGCCGCCUGGGGAGGUGGCUUCUGUCCAGCAGACUGCACUCCCCAGACAAGCAGACCCCUAGGUGUGAAGACACAGCCCCCGGGAAGGCUGGGUGCACAGCCUUUGGGGCCGCACCUGCUUGGUCACCGAGGUGAGCUCCGUUCAUUGGGAAGGGAGACUCAGCUGCUCCUGAGCCUCAUCCGGGUCACAGAGCUCCGAGCUAGGUAGACUCUAGGAAGAAUUUCUCAUUUAUUUGCCAAAUCCAGUUUCUGAAAUUCUUCCUCAUUACUUGUCACACUGAAGUUUGGCAACAACAAACUCAGAGCAAGCAAAAAGCAGUAUGCCUCGUUUCACUGAUCGGAAACAAGACAAAGGGGUCAGGCUGGAGGGUGCUCCCGUCCCUGCUCGGCCUGGGGCUGCAGCUGUUGGCCAUGUUGCUCACCCUCCCUUCGCCUCCCCUUGCUCAACUGAGAAUAAAGAGAGCCGGGCACCAGUGUCAUUGUGCGACAGAGUUUGAGUGGACCCACAGUGUCAGUAAACUCACCCUUGAGUCUUUUGUCACCUGCAUCUUAGGACUGAGCAGGUGCGGAAUCCUAAACCUCCUGACCUUUUGGCCAAGAGGGGCCAUGCAGUAUGGGGGCAGCCACCAACUUCGGACGUUAGAAGAAGCCGAUGGAGCACCUUCUGCCUGCGUGACAAGUGUGUCCCCCGUGGAAGGGGAACAGGACGUGACAGCACUGUGACUGGAUGGCAAUGUGUCUUUCCUGCUGGAUGGGGGAGCAGCGUGAGGACCCAGAAAGAGUGGCAGAUUUGGAUCUGUGCUUUGUACACUGCCGCCGGGUCUGGAUUCCGAGGACCCCUUCCAGCGGGGUGGCCGUAUCAGCCUUUGCUUCUUCACGUGUGACCUAGGAGCUGAGGCCCACUCUACCCCUUCCUGUGGGCCCUUGAAGGGAUCAUUCUGAAUGCUGGGGCUUUGAGAAAUGAGUGGAACCCCUGAAUUUGAAUCGGCCCUUGGCCUCCAGCAUCCUUAGCCCUCGACAGACAGUGCACUGUGAUCUGUAGCUCCACCCAGUUAGAUGCUGUGUGUCACCUCCAGCUCCAUGAAGCAGCUCCUGGGCAGGCUACGGGAGUCGGCAGCCCCCUGCCCCACUGGCCCGGCCUUACCAGCAGCUGCGGAGAUGGCGCGCCGAGGUCAAGUGAGGUCAAGUGAUCUCCCACGGCCGGGUGUCUCUGCCUGCGCUCGGCACUGUCCCUUGGCUGUGGGUUCAGUGGGCUAUGAGAGACCAGGUUCUCCUCUGCUUUCCUCCCUGCCUUAUUUCUUCCCUCCUUCCAUCCCUUUUCCUGCUGCCACCUCUUCCUCCUUCCUUUCCUACCAUUCCGACCACACCCACUACCCAAACAAAUCUUUUUUGUUUCUUUUCGACUUCUGUGACAUUUCUGUAACAUCUGACACCAUUAUCCCUCUUUCCUUAGCAUUUUAUAAAUUACGUGGUCCUUGCUUUUAAAAAUCCUUCCUAUCGACCGCUAGAAAAAUGCAAAUCAAAACAACACUGAGAUUCCAUCUUACUGCAGUGAACACUCAUCACGAACAACGAAACAAGACAAGACAAACAACAAAUGCUGGUGAGGUUGUGGGGAAAGGAAUGCUUCCAUAUUGUUGCUGGGAAUUUAAACUACUACAGCCACUAUGGAAAUCAGUGUGAAAAUUCCUCAAAAAAUUAAAAAUAGAUAUCCCAUUUGACCCAGCCAUACCUCUCCUGGAUAUUUUCCUGAAGAUUUAAAGAUAUCCUAUGGGAGUGAUCCAUGUACACCCCUGUUUAUGGCAUUGUAGAAGUAUACAAAAGGCCUCUGAACAAGUGAACAGAUGAGGAAAUCAUGGUAUUUAUUCACUAAGGAGCACUACUCAGCUAUAAGGAAGGAUUAAUUGGAGACAUUUGUAGGAAAAUGGCUGGAUCUUGAGAUCAUAAUGCUAAAUGAAAAAAAAAGACAUAGAAGGUUUAAUGUUGCAUGGUUUCUCUUAUAUGAGAAAGCCAGCAUUAAAUAAUUAACAGGGCAAGAUGCAAGGGAGAUGGAAGGUAACAGGGAGGCGGACUGUGGGGAUGGGAAGAGGGUCAGGAGUGCAGAAGGGGACAGGAUGGCCAGGAUGAAGGGGGAGCAAGUGACCAAGAUGCUGAAUCUGUGUGUGCUAACUCACCCAGGUGACUGCAGUUAUUAUGCAUAUCCUAAAGCACAUACUGGAAAUCAAGCAAUCCUGUCUCUGGAUCUUCCUGGCCUUAUUCCACCAUUUCAGAAGUCAGAGGUGGCGUGGCCACCUUUUUCUGUUUGGUCCACCUUUAACCCCUUUAUCCCCUGGGCAGUUCCUGUACUGCUGACCCCUCCGCCCGCAGCUGGACGGAGAAGCCGGUUCCUGGUCCCAUCCGCUGCAGAGUGGUGAGGCUCUGUGCACCCUGCGAGGCAGUGAUGAGAGGUGUGCUGGCCAAGGGGACAGGAGGUGACCCCUCUGCCCUGGGGGGCCUGCGGGACGAGGCCUCACCCGCCUCAGAGGAGCCUCUGGGAGCCAGGGCGCCGGGGUGGAAGCACCUUCUAUUCUGGGCCGCGGAAUGGAGGAUUUAUUGCUCUCUCUGAGACGGCUGGAGGCAGGCGGGGUGCCUUGCUGGCUGGCCCCUGGGGCUGGCGGCACGGGUGCUGCUGUCACUCCGGUCCAGCGCUGACCCCAGCCAGGGAGUGGCUCCGCAGCACCCGGAGCAGCCGCAGCUGACCCCGACUUAAUGGGCCCACGAUGUGGGUGUUCAGGGCUGGCUCUCCGGCGGGCUGCUUCCUUUGGAGCACAAUCAAUAUUUAUUAAAGAUCCGGCCCCCGGGAGAUGGUGGCUGCACAGAGGCCCUCUGUUGAGCCAGCCGGCCGGUCAUUCAUUAACCAAGCCCGGCAGCCUGCCCACCGCGAGGUAUAUGGCAAGGUCAUUAAUGAGCUAAUCUGAUUUAACUCUUCCAAACAGAGGCCCGGGUCACGGGGUCACUCUCUCUUCCCAGCAUUGUGCGACCCAGCAGGGGCUGGGGCGAGAGGACCCGCAACCUUCACUCCAGAAGAGAGAAAAGGUUAUGCGGAGGAGCAGGCAGGUGCUAGGAAGCUGCGCCCCUGGGCUGGGGAGGAGGCUGGGGAGGACAGCACCAUCCUCACCAUGUCCUUCAAGCCCCUCUAGCUCCUGCUGUCGCCUCCUGAGAGGACAGGGUCAGCAUAGCCUGGGCUGACCUGCAUGGGUGCAGGAUUCCAAUCUCAGCUCCACCAACUUGGGGGUGUAGAGUAAGUCCCUUCAUCUCCGUGCCUCAGUUUACCCAUCAGGGAACCAGAACACUGGUGCCCACCUGCCAGGAGCUUCGAGAUUCAAAAGAGGCAGUGGAAGUAAAGCUUUUAGCUCUGUAGCUGGUGUACAGGAAGCUCUUAAACAUACAUAAUGUCAGAAGGAAAAAGCUGAGUCAGGUCCUAGUGUCCUUAGCCUGUUGGUCCCUUAAGAACCCACUCUGACCCCCAGGACUUCUUCUCCUGUCCUUCAGCCCGGGCCCUACUCCAAGGCGAGCAUCUGCCGGUCCUUCCGUCCAUCUGCCUGGGUCCUCUUCUACCCCAAAGUACAGAGGCUGCCCCAAGGGCCUUGGCUUCGAGGGCUGCUGCCUGCCACCCUUCCAGAAUGACGGUCCCCUUUGCUACAGCACUGAGUUCCCCAGUGAUGGGAAAGAUCGCCUGGAUGCAGUGCACGCUGGGGAUAAAGACACCAAGGCGCUGAGAGAUGAAACACGAGCACGCGCUCGGCUACACAGGCAGGUGAGGGACCCACAUUCUAGCUCUGGGGGACACUUUCUGCUCUCUUUUCCGCGCAAUGAUGAACAAGGCAGACCAGGGAAUUACGCAUGUGUGUGUACGUUUGCAUGGUUAUCUGCUGUAUAAUGAGCUUAAGUCAGCAACGGGCCAGCUCCGAGACGUGGUCGUAUAGGUCAGGCUGCUGCGGCCGACUUGUUUGUGUAUUACCCCCCUGAUGUUCCUGCCAGGACAAAACUCCCUAACAGAGCACAUCUGUGUUCAGCAAUGCCUGACUGAGUAGAUUACAGGUCUAACAUCUCCUGCGGCUUACAGGUGAAUAACAGCUACUAUGUGCCUAAACCAUCCUCAGCAGAUCACAGCUAUUAGCUCAGUUAGGUUCUUACCAUUUACUACUCUGCAGUGCCAUUGUCACCACUCUGCAGACAGGAAGACUGACACCCAGUAACUUGUCUUUGUGCUGCAGAUAGUGAGGGCAGACACAGGAUUGAAGCCCAGCCCAUCUGGCUCUGUGGCCAGGCUCUUCAUCACUGCUAGCCAGGCUUCCCUGAGAUAAAUGGGAACCAGCUGUGGGUUAGGGACAGAGCCUGGCUUCCCCAGAAUGCCCUGAGCUAUGGCUAUUAGGGUCAAGUUUAGAGACACAAACUAUCAUGUAAAAUAGCAUCCCUGGACUGAGAUUAAAGAGGCAACCAGAUAGCCUUUUCUUCAACCAGAUGAAGAAAAGGGAGGCCUUGUCCUGCACUGGAAAGGGUGUAAACUGGUGCAGCCAUUAUGGAAAACAAUAGAGAGCCUCCUCUUAAAGAGCUACCAUAUAGUCCAGCUGUCCUACUUCUGGGAACAUACCUACAGGAAAUGAAAUCUGUAUUUCAGGAGCUUUCUGAAUUCCCACAUCUAUUGCAGCAUUAUUCACAGUAGCCAGGAUAUAGCAACAACUUAAGGCUCUGUACUUCUGGGUGAAUGGAUAAAGAAAAUAUGGUAUAUAAUGGAGUAUUUAUUAUUCAUUCAUCAAGAAGAAGGAAAGCCUGCCAUUUAGGAUUGUAUAAAUGAACCCUGGAGGCAUUAUGCUAAGUGAGCUAAGUCAGAUCCAGAAAGACAAAUACUGCAUGAUCUUACUUAUGUCUGGAAUCUGAAAGUCAAACUCAUAGAAGUAGACAGUUGGAUGGGGGCUGCCACGUGCUGGGAGAAGAGAGAAAUGGGGAGUUGCUGAUAAAGGUUACAAGAUGAAUAACUUCCUAGGGCCUAACACAGAGCAUAGCAUCAGCAACUUAAUAAUAAUUAAAUUGUUGAGAUAGAGCUGAAGUGUCCUCAACACACACGCACGCACGCACGCAAAAUGGUAACCACACGACAUAAUGGGUAUGUUCGUGAACUUCAUUGUGGGAACUAUUCCACGUUAUAUGGAAAAUCGUUACAUUGUACAUCUUAAAUGUAUGCUUUUUUAUUUGUUAAUUAUACAGAAAUGGAAAAA
Non-coding RNA from Heterocephalus glaber (naked mole-rat), 6022 nucleotides. The record is from RefSeq and is a predicted model, not a curated record. NCBI's taxonomy places the organism in Eukaryota, Metazoa, Chordata, Mammalia, Rodentia, Bathyergidae.